UACGUAGGUGGCAAGCGUUGUCCGGAUUUAUUGGGUUUAAAGGGUGCGUAGGCGGCCCUGUAAGUCAGUUGUGAAAUACGGCAGCUUAACUGUCGAGGUGCAAUUGAUACUGCAGGGCUUGAGUACUGAUGAGGUAGGCGGAAUGGACGGUGUAGCGGUGAAAUGCUUAGAGAUCGUCCAGAACACCGAUAGCGAAGGCAGCUUACUAAGGAGUAACUGACGCUGAGGCACGAAAGUGUGGGGAGCAAACAGG
This 253-nucleotide ribosomal RNA is filed under the name uncultured bacterium. Its description in RNAcentral is "partial 16S ribosomal RNA". It matches the Rfam family "Bacterial small subunit ribosomal RNA", at positions 524 to 776 of the family's 1533-position model. The record is from RNAcentral.